GAAGCGAGUGGCGAACGGCUGAGUAACACGUGGAGAACCUGCCCCCUCCCCCGGGAUAGCCGCCCGAAAGGACGGGUAAUACCGGAUACCCCGGGGUGCCGCAUGGCACCCCGGCUAAAGCCCCGACGGGAGGGGAUGGCUCCGCGGCCCAUCAGGUAGACGGCGGGGUGACGGCCCACCGUGCCGACAACGGGUAGCCGGGUUGAGAGACCGACCGGCCAGACUGGAACUGAGACACGGCCCAGACUCCUACGGGAGGCAGCAGUGGGGAAUCUUGCGCAAUGGGGGGAACCCUGACGCAGCGACGCCGCGUGCGGGACGGAGGCCUUCGGGUCGUAAACCGCUUUCAGCAGGGAAGAGUCAAGACUGUACCUGCAGAAGAAGCCCCGGCUAACUACGUGCCAGCAGCCGCGGUAAUACGUAGGGGGCGAGCGUUAUCCGGAUUCAUUGGGCGUAAAGCGCGCGUAGGCGGCCCGGCAGGCCGGGGGUCGAAGCGGGGGGCUCAACCCCCCGAAGCCCCCGGAACCUCCGCGGCUUGGGUCCGGUAGGGGAGGGUGGAACACCCGGUGUAGCGGUGGAAUGCGCAGAUAUCGGGUGGAACACCGGUGGCGAAGGCGGCCCUCUGGGCCGAGACCGACGCUGAGGCGCGAAAGCUGGGGGAGCGAACAGGAUUAGAUACCCUGGUAGUCCCAGCCGUAAACGAUGGACGCUAGGUGUGGGGGGACGAUCCCCCCGUGCCGCAGCCAACGCAUUAAGCGUCCCGCCUGGGGAGUACGGCCGCAAGGCUAAAACUCAAAGGAAUUGACGGGGGCCCGCACAAGCAGCGGAGCAUGUGGCUUAAUUCGAAGCAACGCGAAGAACCUUACCAGGGCUUGACAUGCGCAUGAAGCCGGGGAAACCCCGUGGCCGAGAGGAGCCAGCGCAGGUGGUGCAUGGCUGUCGUCAGCUCGUGUCGUGAGAUGUUGGGUUAAGUCCCGCAACGAGCGCAACCCCCGCCGCGUGUUGCCAUCGGGUGAUGCCGGGAACCCACGCGGGACCGCCGCCGUCAAGGCGGAGGAAGGUGGGGACGACGUCAAGUCAUCAUGCCCCUUAUGCCC
This 1097-nucleotide ribosomal RNA is filed under the name human gut metagenome. RNAcentral's name for it is "bacterial SSU rRNA". It matches the Rfam family "Bacterial small subunit ribosomal RNA", at positions 88 to 1209 of the family's 1533-position model. The record is from RNAcentral.